This 464-nucleotide ribosomal RNA is filed under the name uncultured bacterium. RNAcentral's name for it is "SSU rRNA". It matches the Rfam family "Bacterial small subunit ribosomal RNA", at positions 26 to 518 of the family's 1533-position model. The record is from RNAcentral.
AGGACUAACGCUGGCGGCGUGCCUAACACAUGCAAGUCGAACGAGGGGUAGCAAUACCCCUAGUGGCAGACGGGUGAGUAACACGUAGUCAACCUACCUCUUAAUGGGGGAUAACUAGCCGAAAGGUUAGCUAAUACCGCAUACGAUCGUCGAGUGGCAUCACACGACGAUGAAAGGAGCAAUCCGUUGAGAGAGGGGACUGCGUCCCAUUAGUUAGUUGGUGGGGUAAUGGCCUACCAAGACUCCGAUGGGUAGCUGGCUUGAGAGAGCGACCAGCCACACUGGAACUGAGACACGGUCCAGACUCCUACGGGAGGCAGCAGUGAGGAAUUUUCCGCAAUGGGGAAACCCUGACGGAGCGACGCCGCGUGUGGGAAGAAGGCCUUCGGGUCGUAACCACUGUCGAGGGGACGAUAUUGACGGUACCCUGGAGGAAGCCCGGCUAACUACGUGCCAGCAGCCGC